Molecule: ribosomal RNA, 440 nt
Filed under: uncultured bacterium
Lineage: Bacteria
Description: partial 16S ribosomal RNA
Rfam family: Bacterial small subunit ribosomal RNA
Source: RNAcentral
CCUACGGGAGGCAGCAGUGGGGAAUAUUGCACAAUGGGCGAAACCCUGAUGCAGCGACGCCGCGUGAGUGAAGACGUAACUCGUUAUGUAAAGCUCUAUCAGCAGGGAAGAAAAUGACGGUACCUGAGUAAGAAGGCCCGGCUAACUACGGGCCAGCUGCCGCGGUAAUACGGAGGGGGCCAGCGUUAUCCGGAUUUACUGGGUGUUAAGGGAGCGUAGGCGGGAGUGCAAGUCUGGAGUGAAAGGCGGGGGCUCAACCCCCGGACUGCUGUUGAAACUGUACGGCUGGAGUGCAGGAGAGGUAAGUGGAAUUCGUAGUGUAGCGGUGAAAUGCGUAGAUAUUAGGAAGAACUCCGGUGGCGAAGGCGGCUUACUGGACUGUAACUGACGCUGAGGCUCGAAAGCGUGGGGAGCAAACAGGAUUAGAUACCCUGGUAGUC